AUGGCAUUUGUCUGUGGAAAGGGGAAUGUUGGACAGUCAGUGACCCAAACCGAAGGCACUGCGACCCGUAAACACGAAGGAGACCGCAUUGCUCUCAACUGCAAUUACACAACUUCUUACUCAGCCUAUCCAUUCUGGUACAUUCAGAAACCCAGCCAACCUCCCAGGCUCUUCCUGGAUGAUUUGGAGGGGACUCCUCUUCUACUGAUGAGGUCAGUCUAGGAUUCAAAGCCAAGCACAAUAAAGAACAGAAGACUUUCAACAUGGUGAAGAUUGCCAGCCCUGAGUGACUCUGCUGUCUAUUUUUGUGCUUUGAGCGACACAGUGGGGUGGGCUGGAAAAUGUCCUUCCUUGUGCCUUGGUUCUGCUGAUCACCAUCUCAGCCUUAAUCACAACUUCCAUGCCAAGCACGAUAAAAACCAUAAGAGCUUCAACAUGGAGAAAUCUGCCAGCCAGCUGAAUGACUCUGCUGUCUAUUUCUGUGCUGUGAGUGACACAGUGAAGUCAGUCAGUGCAGAGAAGCAGAGCAAAAACUUGCAAGGGGAAAUGAGCCUAGAUCUGCUUGAAGACUGA
Lacerta agilis (Sand lizard) is the source of this 573-nucleotide non-coding RNA. The record is from the annotation of a RefSeq genome assembly. Lineage: Eukaryota; Metazoa; Chordata; Lepidosauria; Squamata; Lacertidae.